GCUACGGCCAUAUCAGCCUGGGUACUCCCGAUCUCGUCUGAUCUCGGAAGCUAAGCAGGGUCGGGCCUGGUUAGUACUUGGAUGGGAGACCGCCUGGGAAUACCAGGUGCUGUAAGCA
This 118-nucleotide ribosomal RNA is filed under the name Salmo salar (Atlantic salmon). The record is from RNAcentral. Lineage: Eukaryota; Metazoa; Chordata; Actinopteri; Salmoniformes; Salmonidae.